GUCUAUAUUAACUAUUCUCUCCUUCUUUAUACUCUUCCAAAUUUCCUUAUCACUAAAGAGGCCACCACCAUUUCCUAGUCACCUAGUUUUGUAACCUCAAUGUCAUUCCUGGCCCCUAUCCUGCCUUCACUUCUCCUAUUCAACCUCUUGUCAAAAUCUUGUUGUUUCUACCUUCACAAUAUCUCGAGAGAAUUUCCUUCUCUCCAUUCACAUUUUCCACCACCCUGUUGCAAACUCGAAUCCUCUCUCACCUGAACUAUUGCAGUUGCCUCUGGUUGGUCUCCCCAAUCCAUCUACUCUGAUGCCAGUGGUUUUCCUAAAGUACAUGUCAUUUCUUUCCCUUCCUCCAAUAACCUUGAGUGACUUUUAAUUACCUCCAGCAUAAAAUGUUGCAUUUGUCAUUUAAAGACCUUCAGAACCUGAAUCCUUACUACUUUUCCAAUAUAAACUUUAUUCUCCUCCAUGCACUUUAUAAUGCAACAAUAUCUGCAUACCAUAUAACCAUCUCCUGUUUUUGUUUUGUUUUGUUUUUCCAGUGGGACUUCUCUGUGGCUGGGAUACUGCCCUUCUUUAUUCCCUGGCUUCCUUCAAGAAUCAACUUAAAUCCCACCUUUGAGAGCCUGGAAACUGGGUCUGAGAAUCUCUUACUCAGGAGUUUGCAGGCCUUCAAGCUAAGACUAAAGGAAGAAAACAAGGAAAGUCAGGAUUUCUGCUCUUUCUGGAAGAUUAUAGCAGUACUCUAGCCAAAGAUAUCAACUACACCAGAAGUUGAAGGCAUUGGAAACUAUAGCCAAACAAGGUCUGAAUGCACUCCUUAAAGAAGCAAGCCUACUGAGACUGUUGAGUAUUGAUCCCAGCAGAGACACUGCUCAGUGAGGAGCAGAAAGAGAACAAAUUCAGAAGACCCUCCCCCAUAUAUUUUCCAUAGGUGGACUUUUCCUGUGUCAUUUCUAUGAUGACUCCAAUAAUGAUGUUUAUGGUUGUAAGAGACAAUGCUCAAGAUUUAUGGGGAGAAAAUUCUAUUGUAAAUUGUCUUAUACUAUUUAAUUAAAUGUCUUUGUUUUGAACUGAUUGUGUUCU
RNAcentral lists this long non-coding RNA (1080 nucleotides) under Monodelphis domestica (gray short-tailed opossum). RNAcentral describes it as "lncRNA (ENSMODG00000034051.2)". Lineage: Eukaryota; Metazoa; Chordata; Mammalia; Didelphimorphia; Didelphidae. The record is from RNAcentral.